Cucurbita maxima (winter squash) is the source of this 109-nucleotide long non-coding RNA. RefSeq lists it as uncharacterized. The record is from RefSeq and is a predicted model, not a curated record. The transcript has 3 exons. Lineage: Eukaryota; Viridiplantae; Streptophyta; Magnoliopsida; Cucurbitales; Cucurbitaceae.
UAUAUUAUACUAAUAUACUUUAUAAUAGGGGUGAUAUACUGAUGACAAAGAGGAAGCAAAACUCAUGUGGUCUGCUGCAUAUAAACCCACACACACACUCAAAAGCAAC